RNAcentral lists this microRNA precursor (104 nucleotides) under Erinaceus europaeus (western European hedgehog). RNAcentral's name for it is "miRNA (ENSEEUG00000016116.1)". Lineage: Eukaryota; Metazoa; Chordata; Mammalia; Eulipotyphla; Erinaceidae. The record is from RNAcentral.
CUGUAUAGAUUUCCACAGCUUUCUUGCCACUCAUCUGUUGUUGGGUACCUGGGUUGCUUCCAGAUUUUAGCUAUUAUGAAUUGUGCAGCUAUGAACAUAGGAGU